CAAUUGGACCUGAUAUCAGGCAAGAUUACCCGCUGAACUUAAUCAUAUCAAUAAGCGGGAGGA
This 63-nucleotide ribosomal RNA is filed under the name Phytophthora sojae. RNAcentral describes it as "partial 28S ribosomal RNA". Lineage: Eukaryota; Oomycota; Peronosporomycetes; Peronosporales; Peronosporaceae. The record is from RNAcentral.